CAGCCGCCACGGUAAUACGUAGGGGGCAAGCGUUGUCCGGAAUUAUUGGGCGUAAAGCGCGCGCAGGCGGUUUUUUAAGUCUGGUGUCUAAGUGCGGGGCUCAACCCCGUGACGCACUGGAAACUGGGAGACUUGAGUGCAGAAGAGGAGAGCGGAAUUCCACGUGUAGCGGUGAAAUGCGUAGAGAUGUGGAGGAACACCAGUGGCGAAGGCGGCUCUCUGGACUGUAGCUGACGCUGAGGCGCGAAAGCGUGGGGAGCAAACAGGAUUAGAUACCCCCGUAGUCCCUGUCUCUUAUACA
RNAcentral lists this ribosomal RNA (301 nucleotides) under uncultured bacterium. RNAcentral's name for it is "partial 16S ribosomal RNA". It matches the Rfam family "Bacterial small subunit ribosomal RNA", at positions 509 to 808 of the family's 1533-position model. The record is from RNAcentral.